AUUGAACGCUGGCGGCAGGCCUAACACAUGCAAGUCGAACGAGUGGCGGACGGGUGAGUAAUGUCUGGGAAACUGCCCGAUGGAGGGGGAUAACUACUGGAACCGGUAGCUAAUACCGCAUACCAUCGGAUGUGCCCAGAUGGGAUUAGCUAGUAGGUGGGGUAACGGGUAACCACGGCGACGAUCCCUAGCUGGUCUGAGAGGAUGACCAGCCACACUGGAACUGAGACACGGUCCAGACUCCUACGGGAGGCAGCAGUGGGGAAUAUUGCACAAUGGGCACAAGCCUGAUGCAUCCAUGCCGCGUGUAUGACGAGGGCCUUCGGGUUGUAAAGGACGUUCAGCGAGGAGGCGUUACGCGCAGAAGAAGCACCGGCUAACUCCGUGCCAGCCGCCGCGGUAAUAC
Molecule: ribosomal RNA, 406 nt
Filed under: uncultured bacterium
Lineage: Bacteria
Description: partial 16S ribosomal RNA
Rfam family: Bacterial small subunit ribosomal RNA
Source: RNAcentral